AUGCGAUCAUACCAGCACUAAAGCACCGGAUCCCAUCUCCUCGUGUUGCAUUCCCC
Molecule: ribosomal RNA, 56 nt
Filed under: Hordeum vulgare subsp. vulgare (domesticated barley)
Lineage: Eukaryota; Viridiplantae; Streptophyta; Magnoliopsida; Poales; Poaceae
Source: RNAcentral